This is a ribosomal RNA of 1428 nucleotides. It matches the Rfam family "Bacterial small subunit ribosomal RNA".
GAGUAACACGUGGGUAACCUACCUAUAAGACUGGGAUAACUCCGGGAAACCGGGGCUAAUACCGGAUAAUAUUUUGAACCGCAUGGUUCAAUAGUGAAAGACGGUUUCGGCUGUCACUUAUAGAUGGACCCGCGCCGUAUUAGCUAGUUGGUAAGGUAACGGCUUACCAAGGCGACGAUACGUAGCCGACCUGAGAGGGUGAUCGGCCACACUGGAACUGAGACACGGUCCAGACUCCUACGGGAGGCAGCAGUAGGGAAUCUUCCGCAAUGGGCGAAAGCCUGACGGAGCAACGCCGCGUGAGUGAUGAAGGUCUUCGGAUCGUAAAACUCUGUUGUUAGGGAAGAACAAAUUUGUUAGUAACUGAACAAGUCUUGACGGUACCUAACCAGAAAGCCACGGCUAACUACGUGCCAGCAGCCGCGGUAAUACGUAGGUGGCAAGCGUUAUCCGGAAUUAUUGGGCGUAAAGCGCGCGUAGGCGGUUUCUUAAGUCUGAUGUGAAAGCCCACGGCUCAACCGUGGAGGGUCAUUGGAAACUGGGAAACUUGAGUGCAGAAGAGGAGAGUGGAAUUCCAUGUGUAGCGGUGAAAUGCGCAGAGAUAUGGAGGAACACCAGUGGCGAAGGCGGCUCUCUGGUCUGUAACUGACGCUGAUGUGCGAAAGCGUGGGGAUCAAACAGGAUUAGAUACCCUGGUAGUCCACGCCGUAAACGAUGAGUGCUAAGUGUUAGGGGGUUUCCGCCCCUUAGUGCUGCAGCUAACGCAUUAAGCACUCCGCCUGGGGAGUACGACCGCAAGGUUGAAACUCAAAGGAAUUGACGGGGACCCGCACAAGCGGUGGAGCAUGUGGUUUAAUUCGAAGCAACGCGAAGAACCUUACCAAAUCUUGACAUCCUUUGACCGCUCUAGAGAUAGAGUCUUCCCCUUCGGGGGACAAAGUGACAGGUGGUGCAUGGUUGUCGUCAGCUCGUGUCGUGAGAUGUUGGGUUAAGUCCCGCAACGAGCGCAACCCUUAAGCUUAGUUGCCAUCAUUAAGUUGGGCACUCUAGGUUGACUGCCGGUGACAAACCGGAGGAAGGUGGGGAUGACGUCAAAUCAUCAUGCCCCUUAUGAUUUGGGCUACACACGUGCUACAAUGGAUAAUACAAAGGGCAGCGAAUCCGCGAGGCCAAGCAAAUCCCAUAAAAUUAUUCUCAGUUCGGAUUGUAGUCUGCAACUCGACUACAUGAAGCUGGAAUCGCUAGUAAUCGUAGAUCAGCAUGCUACGGUGAAUACGUUCCCGGGUCUUGUACACACCGCCCGUCACACCACGAGAGUUUGUAACACCCGAAGCCGGUGGAGUAACCUUUUAGGAGCUAGCCGUCGAAGGUGGGACAAAUGAUUGGGGUGAAGUCGUAACAAGGUAGCCGUAUCGGAAGGUGCGGCUG